CCUACGGGAGGCAGCAGUGAGGAAUAUUGGUCAAUGGACGAGAGUCUGAACCAGCCAAGUAGCGUGAAGGAUGAAUGCCCUAGGGGUUGUAAACUUCUUUUAUAUGGGAGUAAAAUGUUCCACGUGUGGGAGUUUGUAUGUACCAUAUGAAUAAGGGUCGGCUAACUCCGUGACAGCAGCCGCGGUAAUACGGAGGAUCAGAGGGUUAUCCGGAUUUAUUGGGUUUAAAGGGAGCGUAGGUGGAUUGUUCAGUCAGUUGUGAAAGUCUGCGGCGCAACCGUAAAAUUGCAUGUGAAGCUGGCAGUCUUGAGUACAGUAGAGGUGGGCGGACUUCGUGGUGUAGCGGUGAAAUGCUUAGAUAUCACGAAGAACUCCGAUUGCGAAGGCAGCUCACUGGACUGCAACUGACACUGAGGCUCGAAAGUGUGGGUAUCAAACAGGAUUAGAUACCCGGGUAGUC
This 460-nucleotide ribosomal RNA is filed under the name uncultured bacterium. Its description in RNAcentral is "partial 16S ribosomal RNA". It matches the Rfam family "Bacterial small subunit ribosomal RNA", at positions 338 to 795 of the family's 1533-position model. The record is from RNAcentral.